This is a long non-coding RNA of Mauremys reevesii (Reeves's turtle), 1153 nucleotides long. RefSeq lists it as uncharacterized. The transcript has 4 exons. Lineage: Eukaryota; Metazoa; Chordata; Testudines; Geoemydidae. The record is from RefSeq and is a predicted model, not a curated record.
GUCUGCUCGCAGAGAGGAGGCUCCCCCAGAGUCCUGACUGGCUUCAUAUGGAGUAGUUCCAGAGCACUGCCCGGUGACUCCGUGACAGGCAUCACGGACGGAGUGGAUCUUGAGGAAUAACUUGAAGUGGAAGAGAACAGAGGCCUGACAGAUUAGUUCAGUUCCGUGCUCAUGGCCAGCAUGGAAGGAAGCAGGGAGAUCUUUGUGGAAGGAAUUUGUGGAGAAAAUGGAGGAGCAAAGCAGAUAUGCAGGAAGAGGAAGAGUUUGGAAGAGCCUUAAAGACUGUGAUAAGAAACUUGAAACUUGAUGGAGCAGAAAAUAAGGAGCCAGCCCCUCAGAGCCUGAUUGAAACAAAGCUCACAGCAGUCAAUGCUGGAGCACCAAGGCACAAAGAGAAAGCGACCUGCCCAAGGUGACGCUGGAGUCUGUAGACCUGGUCUCCGAAUUUCUGAGUCCCAGCUCAGUGCGAAUCUGAAGUUUAGCAGAUUAACAUCAGUAGCAACAAGAUGUGGGGUACGCGGCCCCGGCUCGGCAGCAUCUCUGUUCUUAUUCCACGGUUCCUCCCAGAGAUGAAUUUUAGCUUUCGCACAGCUUUGCUAAUGCUCCCGCUGUAAGACUGCCAAGCUUCAAGGUGGACCCCGUUUCUGCUCAGCAGUCCUUCUUCCCAGAACAGCAUCCCAUGGCCAAGGAAGCUGAAACCUCUUGGUGAUACCAUCCUCACAGCCAGGUAUUCACCUCUAGGAUACAUCUGUCUCUGCCAAGACCCCUACCCUUGACUGGAAGGACUGAAGAGAACACCACUUACACCCCCAACUCCUUCACUCUUACUUCCAGAGCCCUGUAGUCACUUCUGAUCUGCUGAGGGUCAGACCUCGCAGUAUCAUUAAGGCCCACAUGGAUGAAUGUACUUGGGUCACAUUUUCAGGUUUUUCUCUGCAACCACAAGGGCUGGGGAAAUGUUUUUCUUAAAAUAAAGAAAGUUGAGAUUCUCCGGUAAUCAUAAAAUCACGAGAGUCGGUAACACUGGUGAUUGGUGCCUACUAAACCAGUCUCUCGAUCUACAAAGGAAGGAUUGGACUCUGGGUCACUCCUCUCUCAAUUCACUGCUGGCACUUCAGGGCUAACAGCAAUGAAAACCAGCUCGGAAUUCAAG